Molecule: ribosomal RNA, 426 nt
Filed under: uncultured soil bacterium
Lineage: Bacteria
Description: bacterial SSU rRNA
Rfam family: Bacterial small subunit ribosomal RNA
Source: RNAcentral
GAACCUUACCUGGGCUCGAAAUGUAGUGGAAUCCGGCAGAAACGUCGGCGUCUAGCAAUAGACCGCUAUAUAGGUGCUGCAUGGCUGUCGUCAGCUCGUGUCGUGAGAUGUUGGGUUAAGUCCCGCAACGAGCGCAACCCUUAUCUUCAGUUGCUACCAUUUAGUUGAGCACUCUGACGAAACCGCCUCGGAUAACGGGGAGGAAGGUGGGGAUGACGUCAAGUCCUCAUGGCCUUUAUGUCCAGGGCUACACACGUGCUACAAUGGCCGGUACAAACCGCUGCAAACCCGCGAGGGGGAGCUAAUCGGAAAAAGCCGGCCUCAGUUCGGAUUGGAGUCUGCAACUCAACUCCAUGAAGCUGGAAUCGCUAGUAAUCGUGGAUCAGCAUGCCACGGUGAAUACGUUCCCGGGCCUUGUCACACCGA